Molecule: long non-coding RNA, 301 nt
Organism: Panicum virgatum (switchgrass)
Lineage: Eukaryota; Viridiplantae; Streptophyta; Magnoliopsida; Poales; Poaceae
Exons: 3
Source: RefSeq, a predicted model, not a curated record
GGCCCGAGAGGCAUAGUAUUGGGGUUGUUCCAUCAUACGAGGAAGAGGCGGUGGGUACUGUGGGUUGGCUGUGGAACAAUAGUGAAACCGUGCACGGGAAUCCAGGAAGGCGGUACGUAGACUACUGCAAUGCUCUUGACUGCCUCAGUGCUGCACACGUUGAAUGGCAACCAUACAAUCGCCAAGAGGUGCAAAACAUGGAGCUUAGUCCGCAAUGCACCAUGGAUACUAAAUAUUGGCGCUCCGUCUGUCCUCUUAUUUGCUACUAUAUUGUGGAGUUUCACCUUCCAAAUCGCGUGAU